Molecule: unclassified non-coding RNA, 218 nt
Filed under: Hevea brasiliensis (rubber tree)
Lineage: Eukaryota; Viridiplantae; Streptophyta; Magnoliopsida; Malpighiales; Euphorbiaceae
Source: RNAcentral
AGAGGGUAAGACUCCAAUAUAUUCAGCCAAGAAAUAAUGAAAUUGAGGAUCAGGAGUAGCAACAGAGUUGCCUGGCAAAUUCUAUAUGACGUUGAAUCUUGAUAAGUUUGUCCCAGCCUCAACAAAACUGCUCAUUUGCCAGGGAUGUUCCUAACCAAUAUAACCAUAUAGAAUUGUCACUUAAUUCACCUGCCAGGAUAAAGAGAUAAGGUGGCCAA